AUUGCUCUUAGAGCUCUUAACUCUACAUCCAUAGCUUCUUUCAACUUUAGAAUAACAAUGGCCUUUGAGUAAGAACUAGGUUCAAAGUUAGAAGACAAGGUAUAAACAAAAGCUUUUGUGAUUUAUCAUAACAAAGGACUUGAGACAAAGGGUGAGAAGUGGAAGGACAUAUACCAAAAAUUGAGAAACAAUGGUAGUAACAGA
RNAcentral lists this long non-coding RNA (204 nucleotides) under Vitis vinifera (wine grape). Its description in RNAcentral is "long non-coding RNA (VVIN_LNC001821)". The record is from RNAcentral. Lineage: Eukaryota; Viridiplantae; Streptophyta; Magnoliopsida; Vitales; Vitaceae.